Molecule: non-coding RNA, 5380 nt
Organism: Phasianus colchicus (ring-necked pheasant)
Lineage: Eukaryota; Metazoa; Chordata; Aves; Galliformes; Phasianidae
Source: RefSeq, a predicted model, not a curated record
UUCAGCUGUGUGACCAGAAGGGGUAGAGCCAGGCUGCACCUCUCUUAGACCUCAUUUAAGGGCUGAUUGCCACGGGGGAAGGGUCUGUGGUUGGAGAUCCCUCUUUUGUGGAGUUUUCCCUGUGAGCCUUGAUGUUCAGAGCUUGCUCAACAUGUGCUGCAGGAACCCAGCUGCCCGCUGCCCUGCUCAGCCCAUGCCUGCUGCUGGCGGAAGCGGCUGCUCUGGAGCUGGUGGAGACGUGCCAGCUCACCAGCUGGAGCCCUGACCUGCACUUGGCUUCAGCAAGGCAACAUCGAGGUCAGGCUCUGUGGUGCACAGGGAUGGGCACAGCUGUCCUGGUGGCACGAUGGCUCCACCAGCAGGGAUCAAGAACUUGCCCAUGUCAGCACAGCUGCGCUGAUUGCUGGUAGCAGGAGGGGUUGGCAUGGCAGAGCUGCCCACACAGCUGGGGGUCGAGGUCUGCUUUGGAUUGAAAAAUGCACUUUUGGUUCUCUUUGUUCCUUGUAUGAUCAGGAGAUAUCUGAGAAUUCCUACUAAGUCGGGAUGCUUGCUUCUACUGUGAUAAUAUUUAGUACCAGCUCUGGCAUAUUUCUUUUGGCUCCCCGAUUAGACAAAGUGCCAAGCUGUCCUUUGCGGCCUUAAUUAUCGCCGCUUCAGGCCAGAGCUGCCUGCUUACUGCAUAAUCCCAUGGCCUAGAGUGAACCCUGGAAAUGCUUAAUUAAAUGACAUUCCACAACAGAUUAAAGAGUCAGAAGCCCAAGAUAAAGGAAAAGGGAGAUGGUGGCUGUAGGAGUAGCAGGUGCUCUUCCCUUUCAGGCUCCUGGCUUUGAUUAUUUCACCUUGAGUAAGUUGGAAACAGCAGCACGAGUUGAUAGGUGCUGCACUUCUACACUUGGCUUCUCAUGUGUUCUGUGCAAAGUGGCUCUGAAGCCAAGGGUGUCACCAGCUUGGGCACUGACAAGCCCUUGCCUAUUUGUCUUUGAUAUUAAAAAGCAAACCAAAGGCUGUCUGUGUAACAAACUAGCGUGCACUUACUUGGAACAGGGAUGAUCAAACCGUGCUGUGGAUUCCCCUGGGAGCCAAAGCCUUCAUCUAACCACAGCAGAUCAGCAUACAAAUACAAAUGUUGUAGGUACUGUUACACUAUGCUGAUUAGGGCUCAAAUCUUCAGCAAAUCUCUUUGUAGCAAGAAAAUGACUGCAAGUGGGGAAUGUGCAGUACUGAGUGCAUCCUGAUGUACAGGAGCUGAUCUGUAAAAGCUGUUACCACUAAUGUUGUGUUUUCAUCAUAUUACUCUUCAAUUACUUGUUCCAGCAGUUCUCUUGUCUUGGCUGAAUGAGUGGCUGUGCAGAAGCUGACCUGGAGUGAUUUCUUCUUUGCAAAGAGAAGUGGAUCACAGGGGGAUGUCGUGAUGCUUCUAGGCGUUGAUUUGUGUGCUUUGUGUCCUCCUCCAAUCCUGUAAUGCGAUUUCAGCAAUUAAACUACAGGAGGGGAAUGACUUAAAUGUUCAUGCUCAUACCAGGUAGAUGUUGGGAAAUAAAACAUGGAGGGUGAGGAUGCUCCUGACCUAAUCCCUAGCGUUGCAUUUUGCCUGCACCACAAAGGGUACCACAUGGUUUGACGCAACUGGAAGAUUUGGGUGAGUGGAGGCAAGGCUUUUUUUUCAUUUCUUAGCAGAAGUAAGGCGGAUUAUUUCUAAACAUCAGCUAAGCUGUGCGAGGGAGUGUUGCACAUCAUUUCCUUCUCUCCACAACAGAGAGGACUGUUUUGCUGUAUUGGCCAUUCAGGUGGUGGUUCAGAGCUGUUAGUGCUGGGGCUGGGCAGCUGCCCAUGCUCUGCAGGCACUGUGCUCCAGCUGCUGCCCCACAGCUGUGCCCAGCAGGGCACACACCAGCCCCAAGCCUCAGCUUGGCUGGGCUUCAUCUGCAGGUUGAGAUGCUUCCGCCAAGAGCAGUCAUCUGCCUGAGUGCCCCACAGCUUUACUGAGUGCAGCGCACUUACCAACACUAACAUUUAUCGGCUUCUAUCACAGCUUUUCUUACAAAUGCAAAGCAGAGGACUUGAAAGGAAGCAAGUGGUAUCUUACAGCAAAAGCUUCUCUUUAGGUAUUUCAUGGAGGAAUAACCUGUGGCAGUACUUAAAAUCAUAGACUGGUUUGAGUUGGAAGGGACCUUUAAUGUCAUCUAGUCCCAAUCCCUGCUAUGUGGCAUUUUUACUUACCUACAGGAGUUUUGUGCUUGGAGCCAGCAAGUCUGCACUGAUUCCUAUUCAGAGCCUUAGAAGUGAUAAAAGGCAUCAGUGCAGAGUGUGUGUGUUUUCUAUUGUUCCUGCAAAUAGAUGGAAUACCCAUCUUGUUCCAGCACCGAGCCUGGUUCUGUGAUGCUAUGGCAUCCUCUGCUUCCCGUGCCACCUCUGAGCUGUCUGGCAGCACGCAGCCCCUCUCACGCUCAGGCUAGGCACAGAACACAAGCCAAACCCUGUGAGUCUUGCCCUGGUUAACCUGCAUGGAGUUUGUGAGUGUAUGAACUGGAACUGCCCUCAGUCAUAAGCAAAGCCCUGUCCUGUGCACGGCACCAUUGCAGACCCCGUCUGAAGGCCUCCUUUGCAGCUGGAGCAAUUUAAAAGCCUUUGGAUGGAGUCUUUGUCCUUGAAAGCACUUCUUUGAUGUUUCAGGCUUUCACGUGUUCUCCAGACUUUCAUUUAAUGUAGUAUUUUGUUUUGAUGGGUUUUUGUGAGAUUUCAGGUACGAUUUCAAUAAAGCCAGGGAUGUAUCGAAGCAUAAGGUAUUUGCUCAAGUCUUAAUCAAUCCAAACUGCUCUCUGAAGAAGGAAGCAGAGAGGCUGCUGAAGCAGGCCAGGCUCUUACAAGGCAGCAGAUGUUUCUCUUUAUUGUCAGAACAGCUAUCUUUAUUAAAUACCAAAGAAAGCCUUAUAAAUCCGGGAAGGCGGUGCAGUCCAUGUGGAGGACACCUCUUCCCCAGGCCAAGCAGCCUUUCUGGAAGUCCCUGGUUCUUCCUGCUGGAUCCCUCAAUGGCAUUGCCAUGGCAUGAAAGCUAAAGGGGAAAAUGGAAUGUUUAACAAUGAAAACCGUGUUUAACUAAUGUUUAACCUGACAGCAGGAGAAGCAAAGAAGGGAACAGAGCCAGGAGAGCGGAGCUCCUUUGGGGUCGGUUGAAUAGUGGCAGGAGUGAUGGGUGCAGUGCUUUCCAGUAGUGGCAUCUUCUGCUUUGAAGAAACAACAAGAAUUCAUGGGUUAGUAAAGGGAAGAUUGUGACUGACUAGCAGAAGGUGUGCCAGUCCGAGCAGCUGGUCUGUCUGAACCAGGUAACGUCCGUGGAUACGGCAUUAAUUUAAUUCUCAGUUGAAAUACUGCAGAGGAAAUGUCAGAUCGAUAAUGUAGAAAAGGGCAAGGAUUCACUAAGCCUGGCUGACUUGUGUGUGUUAACUACUGUGAGAUAGAUAUGGAUAAAUGCUGAACAUUAAGGUGAGUAAUCACAACUGUCGUGGGUGUCUGAAAAAAAUUUCUGCAUAAAGGCUGUACAAAACAAAGGUGUUUCAGGUGAGAAGCCAAGAGCGAAGGCAGCAGGCUGGUAUUUCCUGCACGGCUCUGCAGUUAGCAUCCCUGGGUCUGCUGCUUUUCUGGAAGAGUGCAAAAAGCCUUGGCACAGAUGCUGUUCCAGCCUAGCUGGUGUGAUGUGACCCAGAUCCUAACAGAGGAGAUGAGUCCCUGCCAAUGGGUAGGGCCACUGUUAUGUGGUGGGGUUCCAUGAGACUGGGUGGGAGGGUGCUCCAGAGCAAAUCCCAGCUCUCCUGACCCAGAGCCACCUCUGUUCCCAGCAGCUCUGUUCAGCACAGACCUGGCAAGCAGGCCCUCCUCCCAAUGGAGACAAGAACAGAAAACUUCCUUCACCUUUGGGCCUGAAUCUCAGCUAUUUGACAGUUGCAAAGUAGUAUUUCCAUGCAAUCUUUGCUGAACCAUAGAGGAUUUUUUCUAUUUAAAUAGCAUGAUAUCUUUCAGUAUUGAGUGCUCGAGCUCUCCCUGAGCUCCUGCAUGCUGGGAACACCGCGAUUUCGGGAUGCCAAAACAAACAACAGGUGCCUGUGUUGUUCUGCAAGUAGGAGCUUCUCAAAUGUCAGAUCUGGCAGAGGAGAUGCUUCCUUACAACACCAGGCUCCUUACCCCAAAGGCCCCUGGAGCCCUGGGUGGUGUAUUUACAGUAAAGAAGGUAGAGUUGGAAAAUAUUUUGAAAUCACCUUUGAGGAAAAAGCCCUAAACUUGCUUUCCCAGUGACUUGCUCAGCUGCUACAUUUAUGCUCUUAACAAAAAUAUGGAUCAGUAUCAGGCAUAAGAACAAUUGGACAAGGCACUCCAUGACUCAGAGCACAAAUCAGAGCCUUUCUCCUGGGGGCUUGGCUCUGGAGAAGUGUGCAUGUGUGUAGCUAUACCAAUGUCACUGUGCAAUCACAAGCCCCUGUUCUGAGGCGUGGUGAGACUUGAGAAAGCAUUUACAUCAGUGCAAUUUGUCCCCAUCCAGAGCUGCAGUGAUGUCCGAGUGCUUUGUAGUGGUGGAUGCGAGCUAGAUUGAAGCGAGACUGAAUGCUGCAGCCCUUCAAGUAGGACUUCUGUCCUUCUCCAAGGGACGAAGCUCCAGCUGGCUUAUGACCAAGGGACUGUGUCUGGCUCAGCUGCAGUGUGGUGCUGGGGUCCCGACUGGGCAGCGAUGGACAGAGACCAGCCCUGCUGGGACAGAGAGGGUCAGUUGGGGAUGGAAGCCCUGACUGUGGGCUGCUCCCUUGUUUCUUUCUACUGCUUGCAGAGGAAAGAAAAGAGCUGAUGGUGCUGGAACUGCUCUACGGUGGAACUGAAACAACAGCUUGUGGCGGUCUGAAUCAGUUCCCUGCUUUCAUAUAUUUGACUCAGAGCUGAGUAUUUCAGAGGCUCGGAAAGAGCAGGCUGAUUUCAAUUUUGGUUCUAAUAAUGGGCAAAGGUCACGGCAGCUGGAAAGAGAGGGGAAAUGAAAGGCAUGGGCUUGGCUGUUUUCUCUGAACCAGCUUCACCCAUUCCUGCUUACAGUCUCAGCAGAAUAAUAACUGAUACUAAGCAAAGCCAAGAAAUGAAAUUAACACAUGCAAAAUUACAUUACGGCCGUAUCAGGAGCCCUGGUGCCAUGCAGUGCUAGCAAGGUCUGGCACACAGGGCAAGGAGUGAGGAGCAGCUGGAGGCCGGGAGCACAGCAUCCACUGCUGUCCCCAGGCACGUACCCACGGGGCCACCUCUGCCCAGCCCUGCUCCAUGUCCCAGAGUGCUGUAAAUCCAAGUGUAAGAGCUUCAGCACCUGUGGCUCUGCUGUCGCAAAGCAGGUUUGCACAGAGCUGGGAGA